UCAUAGAAUUUUUUCAAAUUCAUGAUGUCGUAAGGGAAAAUAAUGAUAGUACCUUACUAUGAGUGUCGUCCAAAUCUGGUGCCAGAAGACUCGGUAAGACCAGAGACGCAAACGUUAAUCAUCAUAAACAGGCGUAAAGGGUUUGUAGGCAGCUUUUAUAAGGUUAUGAUUGCAAAAAUAAAGGGUAAUCUAAAUUGAAAGCUAGAAUCAAAAAGAGGUUAUAGUGUAUAACGCCUAGAGGAGGGCUGAUAUCCAUAGAUCCUAGGCAGAAUACUCAGGGCGAAGGCCACUCUCCACUAAUGAUUGACGCUGAGAAACGAAGGUUAGGGUAGGAAAUAGGAUUAGAUACCCCGGUACUCCUUUCUGUAAACGAUGAAUGGUAGUCAUUAGUUAAAAUAACUAGAGGCGAAGUUAACACGAUAACCAUUCCGCCUUGUGAGUACUACUGCAAAGUAGAAAACAAAAAAAUUAGUCGGUCUCGAAGCAAACGGAGUGAAGCAUGUUAUUUA
This 509-nucleotide ribosomal RNA is filed under the name Ganoderma tuberculosum. Its description in RNAcentral is "SSU rRNA". It matches the Rfam family "Bacterial small subunit ribosomal RNA", at positions 415 to 948 of the family's 1533-position model. The record is from RNAcentral. Lineage: Eukaryota; Fungi; Basidiomycota; Agaricomycetes; Polyporales; Polyporaceae.